AUCCAGCUGACGAGUCCCAAAUAGGACGAAACGCGCGUUCUGGUU
RNAcentral lists this non-coding RNA (45 nucleotides) under Schistosoma haematobium. Lineage: Eukaryota; Metazoa; Platyhelminthes; Trematoda; Strigeidida; Schistosomatidae. The record is from RNAcentral.